This 497-nucleotide ribosomal RNA is filed under the name uncultured bacterium. Its description in RNAcentral is "partial 16S ribosomal RNA". It matches the Rfam family "Bacterial small subunit ribosomal RNA", at positions 28 to 507 of the family's 1533-position model. The record is from RNAcentral.
GAUGAACGCUGGCGGCGUGCCUAAUACAUGCAAGUCGAGCGAACAGACGAGGAGCUUGCUCCUCUGACGUUAGCGGCGGACGGGUGAGUAACACGUGGAUAACCUACCUAUAAGACUGGGAUAACUUCGGGAAACCGGAGCUAAUACCGGAUAAUAUAUUGAACCGCAUGGUUCAAUAGUGAAAGACGGUUUUGCUGUCACUUAUAGAUGGAUCCGCGCCGCAUUAGCUAGUUGGUAAGGUAACGGCUUACCAAGGCAACGAUGCGUAGCCGACCUGAGAGGAUGAUCGGCCACACUGGAACUGAGCCACGGUCCAGACUCCUACGGGAGGCAGCAGUAGGGAAUCUUCCGCAAUGGGCGAAAGCCUGACGGAGCAACGCCGCGUGAGUGAUGAAGGUCUUCGGAUCGUAAAACUCUGUUAUUAGGGAAGAACAAAUGUGUAAGUAACUAUGCACGUCUUGACGGUACCUAAUCAGAAAGCCACGGCUAACUACGUG